CAGUCGCCGCGGGAAUACGAAGGGGGCUAGCGUUGCUCGGAAUGACUGGGCGUAAAGGGAGCGUAGGCGGAUGUUUAAGUCAGAGGUGAAAGCCCAGGGCUCAACCUUGGAACUGCCUUUGAUACUGGACAUCUUGAGUGUGGGAGAGGUAAGCGGAACUCCGAGUGUAGAGGUGAAAUUCGUAGAUAUUCGGAAGAACACCAGUGGCGAAGGCGGCUCACUGGCUCAUUCUAGACGCUGAGGUGCGAAAGCGUGGGGAGCAAACAGGAUUAGAUACCCCGGUAGUCCCUGUCUCUUAUAC
RNAcentral lists this ribosomal RNA (301 nucleotides) under uncultured bacterium. RNAcentral's name for it is "partial 16S ribosomal RNA". It matches the Rfam family "Bacterial small subunit ribosomal RNA", at positions 509 to 807 of the family's 1533-position model. The record is from RNAcentral.